UAUGUGAUUAUUCCUACCAUAUGAAAUCUACACUAUAAAGUUCAUCACCUCCUCUUGUUCUCAUCAAAUAGACUUAUUAGACUCAUCACAUAUCUAAGAUUGACGUUGUUCACACUUUAUAAUUAUGUUUUGUUGUGUUGGCAUCUUCUCUUGGUUCUAACUUUUUUGUGCUUCUUUUGUAUAUGGUACGUAGAUCCAUGAGUCAAACAUCAAAAUCCUAUUCACGGACCGUCGUUACAGAUCUAGUCAUAUGGAAGUCAUUGACCAUGUCUUAUAUUUCUUCUCCCUCUCUUUUAUGCUUUGCCCGAUCCUUUGUCCAAACUAUGGACAAUAAACAUCGUCAACAACCGUGAUUUCCCUGAUUAAUUAAAUAAGUUGUUAAAGCUCCUCCAAUUAAUAGCUCAUUUUGGAGUGGCAAGCAUUUGUUCAGCAUGCCCUUUCCUUCAGAUUUGGACUAUUCUUUGCCUUUUGAGUCUCGUGGAACAUCUUCAAGGAAACCCUAAACUUUUUGUAUGCGGCAGCACAUAAAGUUUAGUGUGAGUGACUGUCUAUGACAAGUGUUUUUGUCAUGGAGGUUUUCCAAUGUCAACGUGGAUCCGAAAACAACCAUGUUGGGAACGAGGUUCAACAUUGUCACGAACGCAAGUCCUCCAAUUUCAACGACCUUUGUUCUCGUAUCUCUCUUGUUGAACUUGUGCUGGAAUUUGUUAUGCGAGGAGGAUUAUGAAGAUUGGGAAGCUGCACUUGUGUGUUCACAAGUAUCAUCUAAGGUGCAUCAAACAGUGGCUUGUGCACUAGAACCAAUGCCCAGCGUGCAAAAGAGUUCAAUCCAUAGGUUGAGCCCAAGACAUGACAAAUUUAAUUAUUGUGAUUUCCUUGAUUAAUUAGUGUGUUAGGCCUUGCAAUCCCAAGAGACGAAAUUGCAUGGGAACUCUAGUUCAGAAUAAAAAUCUAGACUUUUCUAUUACUUUCCUAUAUAUUAUCUUAUUUGUAAUUUCAGUCUGUAGGCCUCCAUUAAUUGCUUCUUGUGUUGUUAAAAUAUUCGAUGUAUGGAGAUUGUAUCAAAAGGUUUUAAGAUCUCCAACUCAAUUAAUCUCUAUAAAUAUAUUCCAUUGAGAGAAAUGGCCUGCA
Molecule: long non-coding RNA, 1131 nt
Organism: Glycine soja
Lineage: Eukaryota; Viridiplantae; Streptophyta; Magnoliopsida; Fabales; Fabaceae
Exons: 3
Source: RefSeq, a predicted model, not a curated record